UAGGGAAUCUUCCGCAAUGGACGCAAGUCUGACGGAGCAACGCCGCGUGAGUGAAGAAGGAUUUCGGUUCGUAAAACUCUGUUGUUAGAGAAGAACAGCGCAUAGAGUAACUGUUAUGCGUGUGACGCUAUCUAACCAGAAAGCCACGGCUAACUACGUGCCAGCAGCCGCGGUAAUACGUAGGUGGCAAGCGUUGUCCGGAUUUAUUGGGCGUAAAGCGAGCGCAGGCGGUCAAUUAAGUCUGAUGUGAAAGCCCCCGGCUCAACCGGGGAGGGUCAUUGGAAACUGGUUGACUUGAGUGCAGAAGAGGAGAGUGGAAUUCCAUGUGUAGCGGUGAAAUGCGUAGAUAUAUGGAGGAACACCAGUGGCGAAGGCGACUCUCUGGUCUGUAACUGACGCUGAGGCUCGAAAGCGUGGGUAGCAAACAGG
This 429-nucleotide ribosomal RNA is filed under the name Bacteroidota bacterium. RNAcentral describes it as "Bacteroidetes bacterium partial 16S ribosomal RNA". It matches the Rfam family "Bacterial small subunit ribosomal RNA", at positions 355 to 776 of the family's 1533-position model. Lineage: Bacteria; Pseudomonadati; Bacteroidota. The record is from RNAcentral.